UACGUAGGGGGCAAGCGUUGUCCGGAAUCAUUGGGCGUAAAGAGCGUGUAGGCGGCCAGAAAAGUCCGCUGUGAAAACUCGAGGCUCAACUUCGAGCUGUCGGUGGAAACUUUCUGGCUAGAGUCCGGAAGAGGAGAAUGGAAUUCCUGGUGUAGCGGUGAAAUGCGCAGAUAUCAGGAGGAACACCGGUGGCGAAGGCGGGUCUCUGGGCCGAUACUGACGCUGAGGAGCGAAAGCGUGGGGAGCGAACAGG
This 253-nucleotide ribosomal RNA is filed under the name uncultured bacterium. RNAcentral describes it as "partial 16S ribosomal RNA". It matches the Rfam family "Bacterial small subunit ribosomal RNA", at positions 524 to 776 of the family's 1533-position model. The record is from RNAcentral.